CGAGGAAUAUUGGUCAAUGGGCGCAAGCCUGAACCAGCCAUCCCGCGUGAAGGAAGAAUGCGCUACGCGUUGUAAACUUCUUUUCCAGGGGGAGAAUUUUCCUGUCGAGACAGGGAUUGACGGUACCCUGGGAAUAAGCAUCGGCUAACUCCGUGCCAGCAGCCGCGGUAAUACGGAGAAUGCGAGCGUUAUCCGGAUUUAUUGGGUUUAAAGGGUGCGUGGGCGGAUUGAUAAGUCAGUGGUGAAAUUCUGCAGCUUAACUGUAGACUUGCCGUUGAUACUGUUAGUCUUGAGUGUGGUCAAGGCAGGCGGAAUGUGUAAUGUAGCGGUGAAAUGCUUAGAUAUUACACAGAACACCGAUUGCGAAGGCAGCUUGCUGGGUCAUUACUGACGCUGAUGCACGAAAGCGUGGGGAUCAAACAG
RNAcentral lists this ribosomal RNA (423 nucleotides) under uncultured bacterium. Its description in RNAcentral is "bacterial SSU rRNA". It matches the Rfam family "Bacterial small subunit ribosomal RNA", at positions 355 to 775 of the family's 1533-position model. The record is from RNAcentral.